RNAcentral lists this ribosomal RNA (396 nucleotides) under uncultured bacterium. Its description in RNAcentral is "partial 16S ribosomal RNA". It matches the Rfam family "Bacterial small subunit ribosomal RNA", at positions 523 to 918 of the family's 1533-position model. The record is from RNAcentral.
AUACGUAGGGGGCGAGCGUUGUCCGGAAUGAUUGGGCGUAAAGGGCGCGCAGGCGGCCCGGUAUGUCUGGAGUGAAAGCCCUGUUUUUAAGAUGGGAAUUGCUUUGGAUACUGUCGGGCUCGAGUGCAGGAGAGGUAAGUGGAAUUCCCAGUGUAGCGGUGAAAUGCGUAGAGAUUGGGAGGAACACCAGUGGCGAAGGCGACUUACUGGACUGUAACUGACGCUGAGGCGCGAAAGUGUGGGGAGCAAACAGGAUUAGAUACCCUGGUAGUCCACACUGUAAACGAUGAAUGCUAGGUGUAGGGGUAUCGACCCCUUCUGUGCCGCAGUCAACACAAUAAGCAUUCCGCCUGGGGAGUACGGCCGCAAGGUUGAAACUCAAAGGAAUUGACGGGG